UAUUAUAUGUAGACUACACAGCCCUAGUCUCCCAUAAUCAUCACUUUGGCUUAAUGAUUAUGGUUAUUAGAAGUUUAAUCUUUUAGACUUUAUGUCGAUUCUAUGUAAACUCCAGAUUACAUUAUCAUAUUUUUUGAUUAACGACCCGAGCUUGAUCACCACUUUUAAUUAGAAUCUGGAUGCACGUGCCAUCUUCGACCACAUAGUACAUAAAUCUCUAUAGUGAUGGUAGCAUCAUCUAUAGAUGUUUUGGGCAUGGAGGUGGUGAACGACAAGGCUCUCUAAUUAGUUGUCAUUUGUUCAGGUUUUGUGGUGGCCAUACAUUAGAUGCUUUUAUCAAAAGUGCUUGUUGCUGUAUGAUGGGUGAUGAUUAGACUUGAAAAUUUGGGUUAAGAGAAAGGCAACUCUUUAGAU
RNAcentral lists this long non-coding RNA (414 nucleotides) under Carica papaya (papaya). RNAcentral's name for it is "long non-coding RNA (CPAP_LNC003700)". Lineage: Eukaryota; Viridiplantae; Streptophyta; Magnoliopsida; Brassicales; Caricaceae. The record is from RNAcentral.